AAUCCAGCCAAAAUUCAAAGGCCUGGAGCUCACUGCAGAGUUCGCUGGAAGUCCACAUCAGGAUUUUGAAGGAGGGCACUGGAAGCCUGGAGACAGUUGCCCAAAGGCGAUGGUGAAGACUGGAGCUUCAAAAAUGAAGCAUAAAUGAGGCUUUCUUCUUCUUCGUCUUUUUAUUCCAUCAACUCUACAAGCCUAUUGGUCAGUUUCACCUAUGCUCAGGGUGCAGCUGCCCCCUCCAGGAAAACCAUCAUCCAGACACAUGCAGAACAGUGCUAUACCAAUCUGCGAGGCAUUUCAAGUUGAUACCGUAGAUAAGGAAAUCAGCUGGGGAGAUGAGGUUAGCCCUGCCCAGGCUUCUCAGUUGUUGGGAAUUUAA
Molecule: long non-coding RNA, 376 nt
Filed under: Fukomys damarensis (Damara mole-rat)
Lineage: Eukaryota; Metazoa; Chordata; Mammalia; Rodentia; Bathyergidae
Description: lncRNA (ENSFDAG00000023189.1)
Source: RNAcentral